UUAUGAUGAGACAACUAGCUGGCACCAGUCAGAGGAAUUUGGAUAUUCGUAUCCAUUUUCAUUGCUGAUCAGCUUACCGGUCUGGGAACGCUACCCGGAUCCUGAA
Molecule: small nucleolar RNA, 106 nt
Filed under: Aspergillus ustus
Lineage: Eukaryota; Fungi; Ascomycota; Eurotiomycetes; Eurotiales; Aspergillaceae
Description: A. fumigatus snoRNA Afu_190
Rfam family: A. fumigatus snoRNA Afu_190
Source: Rfam by way of RNAcentral